This 576-nucleotide ribosomal RNA is filed under the name uncultured bacterium. Its description in RNAcentral is "bacterial SSU rRNA". It matches the Rfam family "Bacterial small subunit ribosomal RNA", at positions 88 to 679 of the family's 1533-position model. The record is from RNAcentral.
GCGGUUAGUGGCGGACUGGUGAGUAACACGUAAGCAACCUGCCUGUUAGAGGGGAAUAACAGUGAGAAAUCACUGCUAAAACCGCAUAUGCCGUGAACAUCGCAUGAUGAAAACGGGAAAAGAGCAAUCUGCUAAUAGAUGGGCUUGCGUCUGAUUAGCCAGUUGGUGUGGUAAAGGCAUACCAAGGCAACGAUCAGUAGCCGGACUGAGAGGUUGAACGGCCACAUUGGGACUGAGAUACGGCCCAGACUCCUACGGGAGGCAGCAGUCGGGAAUAUUGCGCAAUGGAGGAAACUCUGACGCAGUGACGCCGCGUAUGGGAAGAAGGUUUUCGGAUUGUAAACCAUUUUAGACAAGGAAGAAACAAGACAGUACUUGUAGAAUAAGCUCCGGCUAACUACGUGCCAGCAGCCGCGGUAAUACGUAGGGAGCAAGCGUUAUCCGGAUUUAUUGGGUGUAAAGGGUGCGUAGACGGGAAGGUAAGUUAGUUGUGAAAUCCCUCGGCUCAACUGAGGAACUGCGACUAAAACUGCUUUUCUUGAGUGCUGGAGAGGAAAGUGGAAUUCCUAGUGUAGC